UUAUCCCAAAUGUGAUAUGCAAGAUGAAUAAGUCGAGACAUUUAUACCUUCCAUUGUGGUACAGGGCUAAAGGUAAACUGCAGCUAUCUACUCUCCGUGAUUUACAAACUUUAAAUUCUGUUUCGAGUAGAUAUUGUGAUUUGAAUGAUCUUGCUAAACUAGGCAAUCUAAGGAAACUGAAAAUAAGAUUGUCAUCUAGCCAAUCGAAAAAUCUGGAGAAAAUCUUGGAUGCGGCAGGCUGCGUGCUCAACGGUAUUCGGUCCCUGUGGUUGGUCAACGAUGUUGGAAUGGAAAGCGGUGCAGAGGUUAGUCAAAUAGUUGCAAGGUGCGGUCAAAUAUACAAGUUGGAGCUGUGGGGGCCCACACUAGAACUACCGAAAGAGUUCCACUCCUAUUCAAACCUCACCAAGUUACGUUUGUAUGGAUGUGCUCUCAAGGGAGACCAAAUGGCCGUACUAGAGAAGUUGCCCAACCUGAAAAGUCUUGAUCUGCGGGGUAAUUUGUUUGAGGAAAAUACAAAAGUAUUGGUUUUCUCCGCUGGAAGCUUUCCUCGUCUUCAGUUUCUUACCUGUGGGCUUCUCAAAGGAAUAACAGAGUGGAGGGUGGAGGAAGGAGCCAUGCCUUGUCUCUGCAAAUUGGUCAUUGAUUGUUGCAGCCGAUGCCGAUUGAGUACGGUUCCAGAUGGGUUGAGACACCUUACUACCCUCAAGGAAUUGAAGAUUGAGCAUAUGCCUAAACUAUUUUGUAGUAAGCUUGAGGAAGGAGGAGAAGACUUCCAUAAAGUCCAACACAUCCCUUCCCUUGUAAUCCAAAAUACGUAUGAUUAAAAGAGUGACCAUGCCUGUACCAGCACGUAGGCCCACAAUGUACAGCUUCUGUUUGAGGAAAAUCUCCUGCAUUCAAACAUAUCUAUCAAAAUGGCUAUACAAUUUUAUCAGAUUCUGCUUGUCAUUGCAAGAAAGAUGGAUGAUUUUCACAGAGCAACA
Rosa rugosa (rugosa rose) is the source of this 986-nucleotide long non-coding RNA. RefSeq lists it as uncharacterized. The record is from RefSeq and is a predicted model, not a curated record. The transcript has 3 exons. NCBI's taxonomy places the organism in Eukaryota, Viridiplantae, Streptophyta, Magnoliopsida, Rosales, Rosaceae.